Molecule: long non-coding RNA, 1416 nt
Organism: Daphnia magna
Lineage: Eukaryota; Metazoa; Arthropoda; Branchiopoda; Diplostraca; Daphniidae
Exons: 3
Source: RefSeq, a predicted model, not a curated record
CGCAACGUUACAAAUCCCAAUUUUAUAUCGUACUGUCAUCCCGCAACGUGUCCAUUCAUUUUUGGCGAAUUUUCUACACUAUAACUUGGAUCAAUUGCAUCAGGCAGUGCCGCCUGGCCUUCCAGCUUCGGUCCGGUGUGAGUCGAUAAAGUAGAGUACACAUAACUCUCACUUUGCACACACCUGUGCGUUUUAUGGGAAUUGCAAUUUUCGCCCAUCUCCAUUGUCCUCCGAUUGGAUUGCAACGGCAACCGAGACUUUCUUUUAGACAAAUGCGCAUACAGACGCGAUCAAUUUCGCGAGAAUUUGUUAAUGUCUGCCGUUUAUAGACUUGAUGACGUCACAAUGUAGCCAUUAACAGACAUCGUCAAGUCAGUCGGGCUAAAUCUAGUUUACUAUUCUGUUACGAUCAGUGAAUUUCAAAUCAAUUUGCCGUUUCACUUCGAGAGUCUCUGAAAUUGCCAACUAACCUAUUGAUUGAUGUACAUAUUUAGAUAUACCUUAAUAUCAGACCUUGGGUUGUGUUUUGCAUUUCAAUCAAGUACAUGGGUACAUGUCAAUUUACGCACCAGUAGUUUCCCAACUGAUACAGCCUUUGCUAUUAUUUAUUAAAAGAUCAAUCGUGAUUCUAUCUUCAACAUCUUUAAUGUUCUCCAGUACCUGACGGCUAUUUUCUACACUUGAACAUCGCAAAUUGAAAUGGUAAGGUCUCUAUAAAUGUCGGCUCAAUUUCAGAAAAAGCUCCAGUAUAGAAGCUAUCAGUUUACUGGCCUCCCUGAUAAUGUUUUUCAUUAAAAAGAUAACCUCUUCGAAAUAUCAGUUGCUUUUUUAUGUUAUACUUUUAGGUGCAUCUGUUUUCACAGGCCCAGCCAUCACGAAAGUUCACACUAUUGAAAAGCCUGGUCAUUCGUUGUACAACUAGGCUCACGAAAACUUUGAUGCAUUAUUCUUAUCUCGAGGUUAUAUCGACCUUCUAAGGCAAAUCGGAAGAGGGUAUUCUUUUCCUUGACAUAAAGAACGGAAAUUUUAUGCAUUAGCAAGUCAUCCGCAUACAAACAGAUCAAACGCACGAGGUAUUCCGCCUCGUCCGACAACUUACCAUCCAUCAACAGAGUGUAUUAAAGAGGAAAGUAAUGACCAAAUGCCGACUGGACGAUUUUCAUGCAAGAUGAAUGUUAAAAUCCCAGGAGAUCCGGAGAACCAUUAGCUGAAUACAAUGAAUACUAUCAGUUCUCCAGAACAAGAGGCCGACAUAGGUUAAUAAUCAUGCUGAAUCAAAAGAGGUACAUUCUUGAACGAGAUUUCAAAACGAUAACAGCUGGAAGGGCAUGCGGAAAUUUCAACGGACGCUACCUGCACGUUACCUUUUGUCGCUGAUUCAUCUCGAAGAUAAAAAAUUAUAUUUUUUAUAAAUUA